Molecule: ribosomal RNA, 433 nt
Filed under: uncultured bacterium
Lineage: Bacteria
Description: partial 16S ribosomal RNA
Rfam family: Bacterial small subunit ribosomal RNA
Source: RNAcentral
AACGAACGCUGGCGGCAUGCCUAACACAUGCAAGUCGAACGAGACCUUCGGGUCUAGUGGCGCACGGGUGCGUAACGCGUGGGAACCUGCUCUUAGGUUCGGAAUAACUCCCCGAAAGGGGUGCUAAUACCGGAUAAUGUCUUCGGACCAAAGAUUUAUCGCCUUUGGAUGGGCCCGCGUUGGAUUAGCUAGUUGGUAGGGUAAAAGCCUACCAAGGCGACGAUCCAUAGCUGGUCUGAGAGGAUGAUCAGCCACACUGGGACUGAGACACGGCGCAGACUCCUACGGGAGGCAGCAGUGGGGAAUAUUGGACAAUGGGCGAAAGCCUGAUCCAGCAGUGCCGCGUGAGUGAUGAAGGCCUUAGGGUUGUAAAGCUCUUUUACCCGGGAUGAUAAUGACAGUACCGGGAGAAUAAGCUCCGGCUAACUCCGUG